CCCUUAGAUGUUCUGGGCCGCACGCGUGCUACACUGAGUGGAUCAGCGGGUCAGGUUGCGCGAAAGUGUUUCCUAAUCUUGAAAUCCGCUCGUGAUGGGGAUUGACGGUUGCAAUUUUCCGUCAUGAACGAGGAAUACCUUGUAAGCGCGGGUCAUCAUCCCGCGCUGAAUACGUCCCUGCCCUUUGUACACACCGCCCGUCGCUACUACCGAUUGGAUGGCUUAGUGAGCCUUUGGGAUUGGCAGCUUGUACCGGCAACGGUGGCAGGCAGCCGAAAACUUAGGCAAACUUGGUCAUUUAGAGGAAGUAAAAGUCGUAACA
Molecule: ribosomal RNA, 322 nt
Filed under: uncultured eukaryote
Lineage: Eukaryota
Description: partial 18S ribosomal RNA
Rfam family: Eukaryotic small subunit ribosomal RNA
Source: RNAcentral